Molecule: long non-coding RNA, 1143 nt
Organism: Varanus komodoensis (Komodo dragon)
Lineage: Eukaryota; Metazoa; Chordata; Lepidosauria; Squamata; Varanidae
Exons: 2
Source: RefSeq, a predicted model, not a curated record
AGAUAUCAAACACACCUAAAUCAGCUAUUGUUGAUAUACAGCAAAUACUCUCAAACUUUUACAUCCAGUCUGAAGCUUCAGAAGGAAAACGGAUCUUUCACUUUUGAAAAAGGUUAACGAGAGGUGAGGAAGGUUCUCUUUUACUACUCUGUUCUGGGAAACAGGACAACUCUUGCUCUGGAGAGAUAACAUGUGCGUGUGCCUGCAAACUCCAUGAGGAGAUGCCAUCCUGAGGUGGAGAAUGCCAUCCAUGGAACUCAGUAAACUGAAUUUCACAGUUAAGAAUGCCCUCUUUUUCUACCUGCUGUAACAAUAAGUGGCCGCAUCCAAAAUAACUGCUAACUUUUAAGGCUAUACCCUUCAAACAAAUAGUUUUGGUUUGUAUAUUAGAUACAAAGCAUUCAAAUACAUUUAUAGUGGCUGCAAUCCUGUGUAAUAAGCCUGAGUAAUAAGCGGUUACAAUCCUGUGUAAUAGGCUUGUGAGGUAUUACAGCUGCUUUUCCUUUUAAUGAUGCAGUGAAGCAUACAAGGAUCUUUAGCAGUUCAUGGUUUAACAUCAAGAAGACAAGUUGGCUUGCUUACUAUCCUUACAGUUAUGAUCGAUAGCUAUAACCUUAAAUGUAUUUACUAGGAAGCAAAUCUGAAUUCAGUGGAACUUGCUUCUGAAUAAACAUGUUUAGGAUUGUAGAGCAAAUGAAUAUCCAUCAUUAAAGAUGCACCAGGAGGAAGGAGUUGAUCAGCCCUCUUUCCCUUUAUGAAACUGCUUGGAAAGGAGCACAAAGCAGAGAAAUGAUAUCUCAUGUUUGAUCAGCUGCCUCAGUGCUUGAUUGUGCUAUGAAACUAAUGCAUCUGUUGAGACUUAGAUAUGCUUGGCAUCAUCAUUUUUCCAAGGAAUUAAAUACCUGGAUUUGUGAGCUUCUCUUCAAGUUCUGCCUGAGUGGUGACACUUUCAGACUUUGGAGAAUGGAUUAUGAGAACAACAGAACCUGCACAGCUCAGCAGACAGCCCAAUUUGCCAAGAAUGUUGAGUUUUUCUUUCAAUAAGUAGGAAGCUAAAAUGGAGCUUUCAAAAAGAAGUUGGAAGAGAACAUUUUAAUUCACGAUUUCAGUGCUGUUAAAUUUUAAUAAAAUGCAUUAUUCAUC